This 253-nucleotide ribosomal RNA is filed under the name uncultured bacterium. RNAcentral describes it as "partial 16S ribosomal RNA". It matches the Rfam family "Bacterial small subunit ribosomal RNA", at positions 524 to 776 of the family's 1533-position model. The record is from RNAcentral.
GACGGAGGGGGCUAGCGUUGUUCGGAAUUACUGGGCGUAAAGCGCACGUAGGCGGCUUUGCAAGUUAGAGGUGAAAGCCCGGGGCUCAACUCCGGAAUUGCCUUUAAAACUGCAUCGCUAGAAUUGUGGAGAGGUAAGUGGAAUUCCGAGUGUAGAGGUGAAAUUCGUAGAUAUUGGGAAGAACACCGGUGGCGAAGGCGGCAACCUGGUCCUUGACUGACGCUGAGGCGCGAAAGCGUGGGGAGCAAACAGG